GGGGAUUGAACCCAGGAGUGCUCUACUACUGAGCUACAUCUUCACUACAUUUUAUGUUUUAUUUUGAGACAGGAUCUCACUCAGUGCCUGGCCUUUAACUUGCAAUCCUCCUGCCUUAGCCUCCCAAGUUACUGGGAUUACGGGCCUGGGCCAUAGUGCCUGGCCAUGGGUACAAUUUUUUAAGUAUCCCCAAGUAUUACUUUUAAAAGCUCAAAACUGGCAAGUCUCUGCAUACCCAGCAAAUGGGGAUCCCUCCCAGGUGUCAUACUGGGUCACAGCAGGGUGAGUAUUUUGCAGUCACAUAGGAUGACUCUCAUGAAGACCGCGGAACGCCAUCAACCGAUGACAUAAUAGUAACAAUCGUCAUUGAACAUAACUGGAGUUGUGAUAUGCAAAAUGUAUAUACCUUCCCCGAUGACAACCAGAAGAGGGACUUCCCAAGGCCUUUCUAUUAGUUUGGUUUGACAAUAAGACAUUUCCUACUGCUCCUUCCUCUUUUCCUCUUUUUUCCCCCAAAUUUAGCAUAAGAAGCUGAUACAACUUUUUUUUUUUUUUGGUAGGGGCAGAGGGUACUAGGGAUUGAACCCAGGGUCGCCUAACCACUGAGCAACCUCUCCAGCCCUUUAUUUUUUUUUAUUUUGAGACAGGGUCUGGCUAAGUUGCUUAGGGAUCUUGCUAAAUUGCCGAGGCUGGCCUCAAACUUGCCGUCCUCCUGCCUCAGCCUCCUGAGUCCCUGGAAAUACAGUCAUGUGCCACCGUGCCCAGCCCAGCCCUGUAUUUUUUAUAAGCAACUUGAAUCAAAACCACCGUGGGCAUAGCUUCUGAUGUUGCUGGCUGCAAGGGACCCAUGUCUCUUCUUGAAUUGGACACCAUGCACGGCAGUAUUCACCGAGAUGCUGUUCCAUCUCUUUUAAACGGCCGUCUUCCUCUAAGCCACCUGGAUAGAAGGAACCACUCUAUUCCUUUCCUUCUCGAGGGUCACUUGAUGAAAUAACGCUACUCUUCAUUAAUCUGAGAGUUCUUUCCAGAGGUUCAUCCUGCAAAACCUGGAUUCUCUUUAUAGAGUAUUGUUGGUCUAGACGUCCAUGAGGUGUCCUGGCAAGAGCAAAAAACACCUUGCAGUCACAUCUCAUGUCAAGCAUAAGACCAUCACUAAGAAGGAGGCCGUGCAGGGGCCAUGGGGCACACACAAAGGGUACGAAGCCUUUCAGAGCAGGUGGGUGCUAAGGAGUGGCUUUAGGAGAGAAGAUGCUGCUCACCCAGCUAGUGUGUCACAGUGUGGAGGGGACCCUCUCCAGGGCUCCACAUGCCCUGUUGGGACUCAGGGGCCAGAAGACGGUCCAGGCGAGAGGUGAGACUACGGGGAAGAGAAAAAGGCAGCGUGGGAGCUGAGCCCCCAAACUGACUUCUGCGACCCCCCCCAGAACCUGUGAUGAGACCCAUUGGGGCUUCUCCGAUUUCACCAGCAGGUGGCGCCCCGGGCUCACACUCGGGACCUGGCUCCCAUUGCCCUGGAGCUUGGUGAGGCUGGGGGAGCCGGUAGGUGGCACAAGCCCUAGGCUUGUCACCUUCGGGGACGGGGUGCCAAGGGACCCCAGUUGGGGGGGGACCGGCUUCAGUACCUUCCUGCUCUUCUUCUGCUUUGCCUCUGGAGUAGAUGAGAUGUAAUGGAUCUUAUUCUCUCUCCACGGAAAGAGUCCUUGUCAUGACAUGUAGGGAGGUGUCACAAGACCCAGGGCUCUGACCCCUGCAGGGACAGGGCUCAUCGCACCCCUUCCCCAUCCAGGUCACGGUGGGAGGGGUCACUCUGGCCUGUCAGUGUGACCCCCUAGUUGACACUUGGAAAAGCAUCCCUUUGGGGACGUGCUGGGUGGCUUUUUUUUUUUUUUUUUAACGUCAGUCUAGCAGGGGACAGGAAUCACGGACCCGCCUGGCGGUCCCUCCUGGGCUUACGCAGGGCGCCAUCUGCUGACUUGGCCAGCCUGGGUCAAGGGCACCCGCAGCCUGAGAGCCUGGCUCCUCCUGCCCGGAGGCGGGGACCUGGCUGGUGUCCCCAGGCUGCUGGGUAGGCGCCAAGAGCCAACACCCACUCCUAAGGACUCACUGGCUGGGGUUUGUUCCCCGCCCAGACUCUUCCAGGGCUCUAAAGGACAGUCCUCAGAGGGGGUUGAUGGGUGGUGGAAGGGGGGGGAGUAGGGAGGUGCCUGUCAUGUAAGUUGCCCAUUUUAACCAUUUCCAGAAUUCUCACCUUCCCAGACCAAAAUUCCCUACUAAAUACUAACGCCCCGUGUCCCUCCCCCAGCCCCCUGGCAACCACGAUCUAUUUUCUGUCUCUAUGACUCUGACUACCUUAGGUACCUCUUUUUUUGGGGGGGUGGGGGGGUGACAUAGCAGAGAUUGAACUCAGGGGCACUCAACCACUGAGCCCCAUCCCCAGCCCUAUUUUGCAUUUUACUUAGAGACAGGGUCUCACGGAGUUGCUCAGCGCCUCGCUUUUGCUGAGGCUGGCUUUGAACUUGCGAUCCUCCUGCCUCAGCCUCCUGAGCCGCUGGGAUCAGAGGCACGCGCCACCCCACCGUGCCUGGCACCCUAGGUACCUCUUAAGCGUGAAAUCACACCGUAUUUGUGACUGGCUUGUUUCACUCAACCGAAUGUCAGAAUUGCAUUCCUUUUUAUUGAUGAAUAGUAGCCCAUCGUAUGGGGAAGCCACAUUUUGUUUAUCCGCUCAUCUGUGGAUGGACACCUUUGGUUACUGUGAAUAGCACCUCUAUGAACACAAGUAUCUCCUGCUUUCAAUUCUUUGGGGGCAUAUACCCCCAAAGCAGGAUUCUGGGUCCCAUUGCAAAUCUUUUCCAAACAUUCUGCAAACCCUCCAUACUGUUUUCCAAAGCACCAUAGGCCCAUUCCCACCAACAGUACACCAGGGGGUCCCAUUUCUCCAUAUCUAUGCCAAGACUUGCUAUUUUCUGUUUUGGGGGGAUUUUGAUAGGAGCCAUUCUAACAUGAGAUGGUGUCUCCGGGGGUUUGAAGCACCCAGGAUUUCACACUGGUGUUGGAUACUUAGAAAAUCAUUGCAGAGCAAGAGGAGGGACCCCCUCCCGGGGCUGGACUUCUGCAUGCCUCUGCCUAGCUGACCUGCCAAGGGAGCUGCCUCUCCACCUCACCAGCAGGUGGCAGUAGAGACACCACACGUCCACAGGGCUCAGGGGCGUGGCCUCUGCCACACCCGGGUAUUGAGACCAGGGCUUUAGGAAAUCAAAUCCUGAGACCCAGGGGGAGGAUGGAGCCCAGUCCCAAGCCGCAGGUGGUCCCAUCCUCUCUCUGUCCCCAGGUGCUUACUGGUGGAUGCUAACCCACAUCCCGGAGCAAGCUGCAAGGGAUCCUGGUAGAUGUAGCCUUUGCAGGUCAGGAAGGUUCAGAAGAAGGAGCCCAAGUGAAAGGCCACACACCAACGUCAGAUCAGCAAGUACCAAGAACAUGGUGUGGUUUUAAUAUCUCCUAGUGGCUCCCCUAACAUGCCAAUCUCCAGACCUCCCCCCCCCCAGGCAGGCUCCCUCCCACUAAAGGACACUGUACAUGUCACAUUGCUCCUCAUCUGAUGUCCCUACCUGCUCUGCUGCAUGCACCAAGUCAACUUCUCCCAGCUAAAUAUAAAAUGUCCCUUUCUUGCCAGAUGCCGUGCGCUCCUGCCCGAAUCCCACCAACUGGGGAGACGGAGGUAGGAGGUUUGCAAGUUUCAGCCCAGCCUGAUCAACUUAGCAAGACCCUGUCUCAAAAUAACAAUUAAAAGAGCUGGGGGGAAUGUAACUCCGUGGUAGAGCUGAGCCCUCCCCCCCCCGGUUUCCAUUCCCAAUACAAAGCUCUAUUCAUCCUCAGGACAACCCAAAUAUCCGUCAACAGAGCGCAUCCACAGACGGCGGUGUUUUCGCGCCAUGGAAUAUUAUGCGGCAGAGAAAAACAAGCUGACCACCCCAUGCGCCAACAUGCACAAAUCCCCCAGAUAAAACUGUUUGACCAAAGAAGCCAGAGGCAAAGGAGCGCAUUCCAUGUGCUUCCAUUUAAGGAGAGCUCAGAAACAAGCAGAGUCCAUGGAUAGUUAAAAAGGGCUGAGAAGAGCAGGUGGGGAAAUCUUGGCGGGCAGAGGGGACCCAGGAGCCUUCUGGAGGCUGAACAGGCUCCAUAGUUUGGUCAGGAGGCGGGGCGUGGGUGUGCAUGUGUGGAAAAGGGGAUCAAGCUGUAUAUAUUUCACUUUUUUUUUAAUCUCCGGCCGUGGGUUCUCAAGUAUCUGCAGGAAACGUGGGCGACCACCCCCCUGGUGGAACAAACCUGCUUCUAGAAAGUUCCACGUGAGCCCGGGGCUUGCCAUGUGAGUUCUAAAAGCAGAGCCAGGCGGAGAUCAUCAGAUGCAAACCCCAUGCCUCCUCUGGCGGCCCAGCUGAGCCGUGCAGCCCUUGUUGGAAGGAGGCUUCUGCCACGGAGCCACCCACACCUGUCACUCUUCUUUCCCAAAAUUCUACCCUCGGGUAUUUUGUUUCUCAUCCCCCCCCCCAAAAAAAAAAAGACAAAGAUUUCUUUCACCUUGAAGCCUCAGCAUUUUUAAAAUCCUUAAAAGCAGGCCCACGUCCCAUUUAUGUAACUGUGUUUCAUGUGACACAUUGAAACUUUCCAAGGCUGCUUGGUGCAUGCCUUCAGGGGUGGCAGGGGGACAUCUGUGCUUGGAGGUGGGGAGGAGAAAGAAGAUCCUCAGGGGAUACAGCUGGUGGGAUACCAAGCAUGACUUCCACGGCCACAGAGUAGCUGUGUGACCUCAGGCAAUUGCUAAGCCUCUCUGGGCCUCCUGGGUCAGAAAGCCUCCCUGUGAAGGAAGAGGGCCCAGGCUGGGUCCGUCCUGUGCUGAGCCUGCGUGCGGGAAGCCCGGGUGUCCACGGGAAAGUCCUGACACAUCCCGCUUCCCAACGGAGGAGGCUGAGACGAGUGCUCCACGCCACACAGAACCAGGGGCCAGAGGUGGGGACUCGGGCACUCGGGGGCCCAUGUUCGAAGUGUCCCCGGCAUUGGAAGGUGAGAAGAAAACAGGUUCACAAAGGGACAUGCGCUACUUAGCCAGGCUCUGGGGCAAAACACGCAGUCGUCCCAGCAACCGUGGAGGCCGAAGUCAGGAGGAUCGCAAGUUCGAGGCCAGCCUCGGCAAGUUCGUGAAAUCGUGUCUCAAAAUAAAGACAUACUGGGAAGGUAGCUAGGUCGCUAAGGGGCUCCCGAGGUCAGCUGCCUGCACCGAACCAAUAAACAAGGAGCCGGGUGCGGGUGCACACCUGCAAUCCCAGCGACUCGGGAGGCCGAGGCAGGAGGAUCCAAGUUUAAAGCCAGCCUCAGCGACUCCGCCAGACCCUGUCUCAAAAUAAAGAUAAAUAAAUAAAUAAAAAGGGCUGGCUGAAUGAGAUGUCCCCCUCUCGUUUUAAAGAUGAGGAAACCAAGGCCCAGAGAGGUUCCUUAACUUGCCCAAAGUUGCACAGCCGAGAAAAGGAUCCAACAUGCAUUCAGUGAACCCACCAGGUGCCGGGCAUGGUGGAGCACGCCUUUGAUCCCAGGGGUGUAUAUGUAUAUGUGUGUGUGUGUGGGGGGGUUCUCCGGACGCUGAGGCAGGAUACGGCAAGUUUGAGGCCAGCCUGGUGCAACUUAGCAAGACCCGAUCUUGGAAGUAAAAUAAAAAGGUCUUGGGACGUGGCUCCGUGGUGGAGCGGCUCUGGGUUCAAUUCCCAGUACCCACCCCUCCCCCAAAAAAUAGAUAAAUAUCCAGCACAGCUGCCUGGCUCCGUUUUUCAGCCCACCUUGGACAAACUCGUGCCACAGAAAGCCUCCUCCGUCAUGGAGUGGGGACUGACUCAGGGAACGUGGUUCUGAACACCGUCUCUUGUGCGGAUGCAGCUUUUACACCAUCAUAAAGCCAAAAAAAAGAAAAAAACCCUAACUCGAGCCGCCCUGAGUUGAGGACUCUCUGUACGUGACUCAGUGGAGGCUGGUGACACUGCAGGGGACCUGGGACUCCCUGGGAGUCUGUCUCCUCCCUGGGCCCAGUGGACCUCCCAGCCUAUUUUAACUGGCGAUUCACACAGAAAGGUCUCCUGUGCCCCUUCCCAAGGGGACAUGGCACCUCUGUGGGGUGCAGUGGGAGGUGACACCCUGAUAGACCCACUGCGCACUGAAGAUAGGGUCAGUCGGAAGCACUCUACGGUGCUUUGCCUGGCUGUGUAGUAUUCUAUCUAUGAAGAACCAGGAACCAGGGAUCCAAGCCCUGAGGGAGGGUUCUUUUUUUUUUCCUCUUUGAAAAUCAGGUUUCGUUUGCUUUCACAAUUGCUAACAGCCGAGAAUUCCUUGUCCCUAAAUAUUCCAAAUAAGGUAAAAGAGGACCAAGAGUCGAUGUUCAACAAGAGCUUGCUCCUGAUUUGCCCGAGAUCCACUCUCUCCUUUCUUAGGAGCAGAACUCCGACUGGGUUCAAAGUGACCCAGAAGACUCCAUUUCCCAGAUUUCCCCAGCAAUGAAGGUUCCCUGACCCACAAGCAAAAGCCGUUGGACAGGACUUUCAAGAAGGCUCCAAAAAUGCUCUUAAAUCUUCCUCCUGUCUGCAACGUUCCCACGAGGACAGGCAAGCCAGCGGCCACUUGGGGCCCCUAGGGCGGUGGUUCAGCCAUCACUGUGGCACAGCAGAAAGACAAGGCGGAUCGUGGUUUCCUGGUGACACCCCAGAAGGACCCCACCUUGCCAAGGGAGUCCCCGACCUGUGGGAAUCACCUCCUCUUGACCUGUGAGCCGUCAUUUCCCAGGUCUCUGUGGGUGGCAGCUGGACAGGAUUCCUGACCGACAGGCAUCAUUGUCACAGGUCUGCAGUUUUUGCUCCUCCGUGAGAUAAUAGGACUCCUUCUCCCCGGCCCCUCUCCCCACCAGGCCACCUGGUCCCACUCAGACUCACCUGCAAGGCACCGAUGGCCCCCCUCUACAUUGCUGAGAAAGCCAUGCUGCCCUGGGGUUCAGGAUUUCUCACCAUAUUUGGAGAAUUUCCACCUUCUGGCAGGGGGACCGUAGGGGACCGAUGACCCCUGGUUCCCAGUAUUGCACAGAGUAGGGAGAAGAAAACAGUGAAGCCCCUCGUCCAAUCUCUCCCUCUCUGGUUCUAAAAAAUCUCCAGCUAAUAAUGAUUUUUUUAAAAAAAAGAAUCAAAGCAAUACUAUUCCUAAGGGCAACUGAAGCAAUAAAACAUCCAGGAAGCGGUUGUCAAUAUAUUGCGCUCUUGGGCUGUGUUCACUUGAUGGAAUACUAUACACCCAUGCAAAGGUGCCACCGCCACACACAGCAACACAGGGUGGAGCCUCGGACAAAAGAAGUCAGAUUCAGAAGGAAAUCGGUUCAUACGGUCAACUUGCAAACACCAGGCAAAAUUACCCUGUGGGUGGGAUAUGAGGAUACCCAGGGGCUCAGGGAGCCGGGAACAUUCUACCUCUGCUCUGUGGUCACCCAGGUGCGCUCACACUGCGAGACUCACUGAGCUGUGUAAGGAAGAUGUGUGCCCAUUUCUGCGCAUCAGAAACUCCAAUGAAAUUUGCGCUCAGAGACUCGAUGGUGUGACCGAUCAAGAGGACACAGCGUCAGAGGAGCCUGGUGUGUGCUGGGGUCUCCAUAAGUGGCACUGGAAUUGGAGGUGUGGGGGGCUCAAUGGCAAGUGAAGCUCAAAAUAAUGUCAGUUGCUCUGGGAACUUGGGGUACCGUGGCGGGUGACGGGUGGAGGGGGACAUAUAUGGUGUAUGUCCACCCGGGUAGGUGAAAACUCUCCCCAAAGCCACACCAGGAGGCUGUUCCCAGCCGUCGCUUGAGAGGCUCAGCUUGUCUGGGUGUCACAUUCUGCAGACCCGGGUAGGAGCAGGGGCCCGGGAAGGCAGCAGGAACCCAGCAUCUGCAGAUUCUCCUCAACUUACGAUGGGGGUGACACCCUGAUAAACCCGCUGCACACUGAAAAUACGGUCAGUCGGAAGCACUCUACAGUGCUUUGCAUGGCUGUAUAGUAUUCUAUAUAUGAAUCCACCUCCCCUGCCCAACAGCACAGCGUAGCAACGUGGUGCACGGCAGAGUGACAGCCGCUUUCCCUCAUGAUCACGGACCGAGUGGAGAGACAGACCACAAAACCCUAGCCCAGGAAAAGACCCAAAUCCUGAAUUUGGGGGGCAGUAAUACCUAAUACAGCAUUCACACCAUUGUAAAGUCAAAAAGGUUGAAAGUGGACCAACCGUUCAGUAGGGGACCCUCAGUCUGUGCACCAGGCUCAAAUAUAGAAUCGACUCCAUAGGGAGUAUAUACAAUUGUAAUUAAAACAAAUAAAAAAAAUAAAAAAUAAAGUACAUAGAAUUGUUUUCUGUGUUUUAAAUACAUGAAGAAUUCAUGCUUGUCUUAGGUUGUUUUGCGUUGCUAUGACAGAAUACCUGAGACUGGAGAAUUUAUGAACAACAGAAAAUUGAUUUCUUAUAGGUUCUGGAGGUCAGGAAGUCCAAGAUCCAGCAAGGGCCCACAUUGCAGAAGGUGGAGGGUGCUGGAGAGAGACACAGAGAAGACCUGUGAGAACAACACUGACCCAUCAAUUAGGGCACAGCCCUCAUGACUUAAUCACCUCUUGUGGAGCACGGAGGCACACACCUGUCAUCCUAGAGACUUGGGAGGCUGAGGCAGGAGGAUCGAAAUUUCGAGGCCAGCCUGGGGAACUUAGUGAAACCCUGUUUCAAAAUAAAAAGGACUGGGUGUAGAUCAGUCGUAGAGCAUCCUGGGUUCAAUCCCUAGUCCCGAGAGAGAGACCCAGAGAGGAGGAAAAGUGUCACCUCUCAACCUGCUGCUGUGGGGGUUAAGUUCCCAACACAUGAUCUUUAGGGGACACACCCAAACCGGAACAACGUUCUACA
This 8940-nucleotide long non-coding RNA is filed under the name Marmota monax (woodchuck). Lineage: Eukaryota; Metazoa; Chordata; Mammalia; Rodentia; Sciuridae. The record is from RNAcentral.